GCCUGAGUGGUGAAAUCGGUAGACACAAGGGAUUUAAAAUCCCUCGACGUUCGCGUCGUGCCGGUUCGAUUCCGGCCUCAGGCACCA
This 87-nucleotide transfer RNA is filed under the name Aeromonas hydrophila. Its description in RNAcentral is "tRNA-Leu". It matches the Rfam family "tRNA". From Rfam's summary of the family: Transfer RNA (tRNA) molecules are approximately 80 nucleotides in length. Their secondary structure includes four short double-helical elements and three loops (D, anti-codon, and T loops). Further hydrogen bonds mediate the characteristic L-shaped molecular structure. tRNAs have two regions of fundamental functional importance: the anti-codon, which is responsible for specific mRNA codon recognition, and the 3' end, to which the tRNAs corresponding amino acid is attached (by aminoacyl-tRNA synthetases). tRNAs cope with the degeneracy of the genetic code in two manners: having more than one tRNA (with a specific anti-codon) for a particular amino acid; and 'wobble' base-pairing, i.e. permitting non-standard base-pairing at the 3rd anti-codon position. Lineage: Bacteria; Pseudomonadati; Pseudomonadota; Gammaproteobacteria; Aeromonadales; Aeromonadaceae. The record is from RNAcentral. RNAcentral also lists the same sequence under 19 other names.